Balaenoptera musculus (blue whale) is the source of this 211-nucleotide long non-coding RNA. RefSeq lists it as uncharacterized. The record is from RefSeq and is a predicted model, not a curated record. Lineage: Eukaryota; Metazoa; Chordata; Mammalia; Artiodactyla; Balaenopteridae. The transcript is spliced from 4 exons.
UUCCAUAGUGGCUGCAGCAAUUUACAUUCCCACCAACAGUGUAGGAGGGUUCCUUUUUCUCCACACCCUCUCCAGCAUUUUUUAUUUGUAGACAUUUUAAUGAUAGUCCUUCUGACUGGUGUGCAGUAGUACCUCACUGUACGUUUGAUUUGCAUUUCUGUAAUAAUUAAUGAUGUUGAGCCUAUUUUCAUGGGAGCACUUUUAAAUAUAU